Molecule: ribosomal RNA, 232 nt
Filed under: uncultured bacterium
Lineage: Bacteria
Description: partial 16S ribosomal RNA
Rfam family: Bacterial small subunit ribosomal RNA
Source: RNAcentral
CGGACGGGUGAGUAAUGUCUGGGAAACUGCCCGAUGGAGGGGGAUAACUACUGGAAACGGUAGCUAAUACCGCAUAAUGUCUACGGACCAAAGCGGGGGACCUCCGGGCCUCGCGCCAUCAGAUGAACCCAUAUGGGAUUAGCUAGUAGGUAAGGUAACGGCUUACCUAGGCGACGAUCCCUAGCUGGUCUGAGAGGAUGAUCAGCCACACUGGGACUGAGACACGGCCCAG